Phrynosoma platyrhinos (Desert horned lizard) is the source of this 72-nucleotide non-coding RNA. The record is from the annotation of a GenBank genome assembly. Lineage: Eukaryota; Metazoa; Chordata; Lepidosauria; Squamata; Phrynosomatidae.
GCCUUUGUUGUAUAGUGGUUUGAGUGUUGGACUAUGACUCUGGAGACCAGGGUUCAAAUGUCUGCUCAGCCA